This 491-nucleotide ribosomal RNA is filed under the name uncultured bacterium. RNAcentral describes it as "partial 16S ribosomal RNA". It matches the Rfam family "Bacterial small subunit ribosomal RNA", at positions 29 to 507 of the family's 1533-position model. The record is from RNAcentral.
ACGAACGCUGGCGGCGUGCUUAACACCUGCAAGUCGAACGGUGAAGCGCCUUCCUUUUUGGUGGGUGUGGAUGAGUGGCGAACGGGUGAGUAACACGUGUAAAAUGCCCCCCUCUUUUGGGUAAACGCACAAAAAAGUGGCGAAAACGGGGUAUUCUGGGGGUGUGGCGUGUGGGGGGUGGGGAAGAGAUAGUGUUGGGGGGGGGGGGGCUCGCGGCCCAUCAGCUUGUUGGUGGGGUGAUGGCCUACCAAGGCGGUGACGGGUAGCCGGCCUGAGAGGGUGGACGGUCACACUGGGACUGAGACACGGCCCAGACUCCUACGGGAGGCAGCAGUGGGGAAUAUUGCACAAUGGGCGCAAGCCUGAUGCAGCGACGCUGCGUGAGGGAUGGAGGCCUUCGGGUUGUGAACCUCUUUCGCCAGUGAAGCAGGCCUGCCUCGUUUGUGGGUGGGUUGACGGUAGCUGGAUAAGAAGCGCCGGCUAACUACGUG